CCGUCCCCACCUCCGCGUCCUGCACCCCCACCACCACCAGGGGCCAUCCGCCUUGGGCUUCCCUGUGGAACACCACCUAUGGAUCAUACAAGCAACAUCUCAAGACAUCAACCAUGAAGGGGAAGUUGAGGCUGAAGCGGGUCUUCCAAGUGGAUGAUGUCCCUCGGCAUACCACCAGCCGUGGUAGGAACCUUCCCGCCCGCUGUGCCAACCUCUCCGGGGCUGACAUUUCCCAUCCUCUGCUCCUUCUCCACCUUGACCAGCGCCGACCUGCCUUCCCUCCAGGACAUGUCUCGCUGUGCUGUGGAGAUGAUGAUGGUACCACCAUACCUUGAUGUUGCUCAGUUGUUCCACUGAAUCCACAGAGUCACAGAAG
Poecilia reticulata (guppy) is the source of this 376-nucleotide long non-coding RNA. RefSeq lists it as uncharacterized. The record is from RefSeq and is a predicted model, not a curated record. Lineage: Eukaryota; Metazoa; Chordata; Actinopteri; Cyprinodontiformes; Poeciliidae.